RNAcentral lists this ribosomal RNA (251 nucleotides) under uncultured prokaryote. Its description in RNAcentral is "partial 16S rRNA". It matches the Rfam family "Bacterial small subunit ribosomal RNA", at positions 525 to 775 of the family's 1533-position model. The record is from RNAcentral.
ACGGAGGGGACAAGCGUUGUUCGGAUUUACUGGGCGUAAAGGGCGCGUAGGCGGACCUUCAAGUCGGAUGUGAAAACCAGCAGCUUAACUGCUGGCCUGCAUUCGAUACUGUUGGCCUUGAGUACGAGAGAGGAGAGUGGAAUUCCAGGUGUAGCGGUGAAAUGCGUAGAUAUCUGGAAGAACACCAGUAGCGAAGGCGGCUCUCUGGCUCGAUACUGACGCUUAAGCGCGAAGGCAUGGGGAGCAAACAG